This is a long non-coding RNA of Rhincodon typus (whale shark), 2444 nucleotides long. RefSeq lists it as uncharacterized. The transcript is spliced from 3 exons. Lineage: Eukaryota; Metazoa; Chordata; Chondrichthyes; Orectolobiformes; Rhincodontidae. The record is from RefSeq and is a predicted model, not a curated record.
ACCGGAGAAGGAAGUCCUUCCGGGUCGUGCUGAAGGGUUUCUGUGUGCCUUUGCCGAGGCAUGUGAGUUUUCUUCAAUGUUUUCAAACUCUGGAGGAUGGCCCUUAACAAAUCUAUGCAUCCAAGAAACCGAUAUAAAGACAAGCCACCAGAUUUUACAUACUUGGCAUCAAAAUAUACAGAGUUCCAGCAGCACGUUCAUACAAGCUUGACUGGGAAAGUGAGGCUUACAAGCAGAGAUUGAAACAUGUGGACCCAGUACAGAAAGUAGUGCAAUGUUGGUCUGAGGCAAUGGAAGGCCUUCUACGGGACUACUUAGAGUCAGUGGACGAGUCCAUGUUCAACCUAAAUGAGUAUGCUACUGCCAUUACGGACUUUAUUAGUAAGUGUGUAGAGGAUGGCGUGCCGAAGAAGUUAAUCUGAAUGUUCCCAAUCCAUAAACCAUGGAUGAAUCAGGAGAUCCGCUACCUACUGAAGUCCAGGUCUGAGGUGUACAAGUCAGGCAACCCUGACCUAUACAGGAGAUCCAGGUAUAACCUUUAUAAGGACAUCCGAGAUGCCAAGAGGCAGUACAAAACUAAACUUGAGACCCAGACCAACCACACAGACACCCAUCAUUUGUGGCAAAGCUUACAUGACAUAACAGGCUAUAAAGUGAAGUUGAACAGAAUCGCAAGCAACAGUACAUCCCUAUCCAGUGAGCUCAAUGCAUUCUCUUGCUUUGAACAGAAGGUUGGUGAAAUGAUGUCACCUGUCCCAACAGCCUCAGAUGCACCUGUACCUGUGGUCACUGCCACAGGCAUUACAUCGUCCUUCUUGAGAGUGAGCCCCUAGAAGGCGACUGGCCCAGAUGGCAUCCCCGGCCGUGCACUCCGAUCCUGUGUGGACCAGCUGGUGGUAGUAUACGCAGACACCUUUGUCCUCUCCUUACUAUGAUCUGAAGUCCCCACCUGCUUCAAGAAGAUCACCAUCAUCCCACUGCCCAAGAAAAGUCAUCCUGUAUGCCUCAAUGACUAUUGUCUGGUGGCUGUGACCUCCAUAAUUAUGAAGUGCUUCAGGAGGUUGGUCAUGGCUUACAUCAACUCUAGCCUACCAAAUUGCCUUGAUCCUUUGCAGUUUGCCUACUGGCGCAGCAGGUCCACACCAGAUUCCAUCUCCCUGGCCCUAUGCUCAUCUGGAUAACAAGGAUAUCUGUUUCAGGCUCUUGCUUAGUGACUGCAGCUCUGCCUUCAACACCAUAAUUCCAAACGGUCUCAUCUCCUCUUUCUGUAACUGGAUCCUCAACCUCCUGACCCAUAGGCAACAACACUUGCUCCACCAAAAUCCUCAACACGGGCGUGUACAAGGCUGUGUACUCAGUCCCUUACUAUACUCAUUAUACAUUUAACUACGUUGCUAAAUUCCUCCCCACUUCAUUUACAAGUUUGUUGACAGCACCACCGUUUUAGGUCAGAUCUCAAACAACACGGAGACAGACUAUGGGAAAGAGAUUGAGUGCCUAGGGGCAUGGUGUAAAGACAACAAUCUCUCCGUCAACGUCAGCAAACCGUUGACUUGAAGUGGGGUGGAAGGCACACCCCUAUCUGCAUCAAUGGUACUGAGGUGGAAAUGGUAGAGAACAUCAAGUUCCAACAAGUGAUGAUCACCAACAACCUGUCCACCCAUGUCGACGCGAUGGUCAAGAAAGCUCAACAAUUUCUCUACUUCCUUAGGAGGCUAGAGAAACUCAGCAUGUCAACAAGGACUCACCAAUUUUUAGACGCACCAUAGAAAGCAUCCUAUGUCCAGAUGUAGGAACUGCAGAGAGUUGUGAGCCCAGUCUAUCACAUGAGCCAAGCUUCCAUCCAUUGACUCCAUCUAUUCCUGCUGCCCUGGGAAAACAAGUAACGUAAUCAAAGACCCCUCCCACCCCGUUUAUACUCUCUUUCACCUUCUUAUGUCAGGCAGCAGAUAUAAAAGUUUGAAUACACGUAUGAACAGAUUCAAGAACAGCUUCUUCCUCGCUGUUAUCAGACUUUUGAAUGGGCCUGUUAAAUGUGAAGUCUGAUCUCUCUCUCCCCACCUUCUCUGCGGCUGCAACACUGUAUUUUGCACUCUGUUCUGCUACUCUGAUGCACUUUGUAUGGUACAGUCUGCCUGUAUAGCACACAAAACAACAUGUUUCACUGUAUCUCGGUACAUACUCCAACAAUAAAUCAAUCAAUUCCCAGUAAAAUCCACACUGAUUAUUUGUGGCAUAGGGCUUUGAGUAGGCACAGGAGCUUUGACUGGCUGAGCAAUCUUCAGGGCCAGACUUAAUGUGCCCAUCAUAAAUGGGGGAAAUUACUUUCACUUAGCAGUGUGCUUAAGUUGUAAAACAUCCAGGAUUGUAAACUUCUGUGGAAUCUAUUUAUAGAGAAGUAUUAAUUAAUUUGCGGGACAAUAUGGAGAUUAAGAAAUGCAGCC